This is a non-coding RNA of Physcomitrium patens, 3735 nucleotides long. The record is from RefSeq and is a predicted model, not a curated record. Lineage: Eukaryota; Viridiplantae; Streptophyta; Bryopsida; Funariales; Funariaceae.
UCCGUCCUUUCGCAGUGAAAAAAAAACCACGGGGGUAACGGUCGCAGGCGCCAUAACCGUGUUUUACUGCAGAUCCCGCCGUCCUUUGUUACUCCGCAAUGAAACUUUUGUCAGUUCGGUGGUGCGUACUUAGCUACGCAACCCAAAAUGGAAUGCUAAUGUGUCUGCUGGAUUUUUUGGGUCCAUAAGGCUGGGGGGAGGGGGGUGGGGUUUACUCGGUCAAGUCGGGAUCGGAAUGUGCUUGCCCGCAUUUGUUUGGGAAGACCACAUUCGUAAAUGAAGGGUUUCUUGGUAUCGUUGGCAUUGCCCCACGUUGCUACUACCUAGCAGAGAGGAAAGAAUUUCGAACAACGUGGACAACUCUCAUGCAACCCACAAUUUUGUCGGGUGGUUUCUCAGAAAUUAAGGUCAUUAAGAACAAAAUUACAGAGAACGAACAUUCAGGUAUGUAAACCCAGCAUACAAACGCGUGUUCCUUCUUUUCAUCAUCUCGACUAAUGGUGAUCCGAGGUGGUUCCGGUGAAGCUCCGUUGCGCGGAUGUCCAUGCAGAGUGGUGAGCUCGUGGUAUCACGUGGGUCAGCUCACCUUACGUCCUGAGGAAGCUGGGAAUGCAGCCAUGACACUGCGGCAGCACACUCAUGGGGCGCUUCACCAACCCGCAGCAUUGAGUUGGACGCAAGGCGAGUAGCGUCCUCAUUUUUUCAUCGUAGUUGAGAGGAUUCUGUCGGAAGAAUUCCCUGCGUCAGGCACGAGUACGCUCCAGUCGCGUUCUUGCGCGUCAAGUUAGUUCAUUCUCUUCGUCUCUUCUGACCCACGUAACGAAUUGGCAUUCAAGCGUUGUAUCGUUUCGCAAUGUAUGGGAAUAAUUUGGGUUUUUGAAACUGGAACAAGAUUGAUAAUUGGAUGAUUCGAAGCAUAUCAGGCAAGUGGAGUGCGGCUUUUGGUAACAAGUUAUAUUUUGGGGCUCGCCAAGAUCCAAACCCUGCUUCAAUGAGUGAAGAAAAUCGUAUUUCUGUAUUAAUUAACAACGAUUAGUUUCAAACGAUCGCAAUCGUUCUCAAUGACGAUGGAAAGUCAUGACAUCGUGCGAAUCAAACCUCGUGACUUUUGAGGGGAAGGCUUAGCAUUCAGCAGUAAUUUGAAAUUAGAUGCAAUGGGAAACUUGAGCACUUAAGAUUAUACAACGGAGAGAAAGGUCGAGAGUGAAAAGUGCUCGGAUAGUGUUACAAGAGCAGGGAGGUACGUUCUAAGGAGGUUCAUGGCUGGCAAUCACUCCCAGGCCUGCCAUGGCUUCUGCCCAACUCGGCGACCAUAACGACGAAGGUGGCAGAUAGGGUUAAGACGUUGGCUCUAGAAAGAGGCACAAUGUCCCUGGUACUCUUGUUUCCGCGUGAUUUGAGAUGAUUUUGCUUCGCCCUACCAUUGGAAUCAACAAGCUCCGCAUUCCGGAUUUCUUCGUGCCAUUUCUAUAAGCGCAUGGAGUCACUGAUGUUGUUAGCCAUUUGCUCAGCCGAUGCCUACGUGUUCGUCGUUAGCAGCUACUAUUUUUUCUGAAGAUGAUGAUGCUAUUUGAUAGCCACUCAGCACAUGUGAAGUGCAGACUCCUAAUAUUUUUUUCCAACUUUAAUCCUGUUUUAUCUUAAACUCCUAGACUUGGACGCAUAUAUUUACAUUGCAGAUAAAGGUUUUCAAUUUUGAUUAGAAAGCAAUUUGUUCCUCUCAACACAUGGUGAAAUAGUUGAUUAGUUACAAGUAGAGGCUGUUAAAGUGCACACACGGCUGCUGUAGGUGUGCGCUCCGUUUUAUGCGCAGAAGUUGCCAUGAACAAUCACUUCUUGCUGCGAGGAGAGCGGCCAGCAUUUGCUAUUGGGAAUUAUCGGGUGGUAGAAUGGCCCCAGGUAAGGUUGUUGGUGGAACGGAAGGAAAGUAGCCAGCUUGAACGAGAAUGCUGGUGACUGCCAUGUCGGAUUAGGUUCCGAAGACAAUCUCGUUACCUGCAGAUAUUUUUUGUCAUUGAUCAUAGAAACAUGAACUUGUUGAGCUUAGUUUCUAGAAAUUUGUUGAGCUGAGAGAUCAAUGUGUCUCUUGCAGUAAUUACUUUUCUGCCGUUAAAUUCUCUUUCUUAUCUGGUUGUCCUUGCUGAGAGAAUCUGUAAAUUCUUGGAUCGAUUCAGUUCGUAGAUUUCUUGUGGCAGCCGUGUACAUUUGGGAAGAAAGAGCGGUUUGCGUAUCAUUGUCAAUUAUGGAAGCGGAACCACAGCCAUCGGGCUGGGUGUUGACAUUGCUGCUCGCAGAGGGUGCGUGGCAUCACUCCCUCGUCUGAACUAGCUAAUUUCGUUAUGUGGUUUAUCUUAUGAAUUGACUGAAUGAUCAAAUUACUUUCAGUUUUACUCAGCAGGCUUUCUUGGCUAGUGGUAAGAGUGAUGCUUGCAGACACUCAAGUCCGUUUCAGACUUAAAAACCGGACUAAAUUGUAAGCUUUCUACUUGGAUUUAACUCCAAUUUUAACCUCUUGUGUCGGUUGAAAUGUUGUCCAUUCCAUGGUCUGAAACGGACUUUAAGUUAUCGAGAAGCAGUUUGCUAGGAUUAUGUCUGAAUGUACUCAGGAAUUCCAUGCACGUAAUCGGGAGGUGUACUUGUGGUUUGGCUCGCAUAAUGCAGAUGGAGACAGUUGUGUCAGUUUGUUUGCCGCCUUCCAAAAAAAUUAUGUUGUGUAGUGCAAGUGCAAGUGCAAGCGUAUAGAUGGAUUUUCAUAGAAUGGCCGUCCCUCUUGCAAGAAAUUGACACAUUUCUGUUUCACUGGAUAGCAGUCGACCGAAGCUGUCAUCAUUAGUGAAAAAUCUUCACCAAUAACACUAAUCUCCUAAAUCAUCAGGUACCAGCCACAAAUGUACAUGCAUUGCUCAAACAGUGGUGGUAGCUGAUCGGAUUCGGCAUCCUGGAACUAUUAACUGUAAUUGAGUAAUCAGAUACGGUGUUAACAUACCCACUUGUGUCGCUUUAUGAGAAAGUUAACCUCGAAUAUUUAUUUUCCCGAUGCCUUUCAAGGCAGUGAUGUGAACAUCACUUUUGAGUUCUCUAUCUUCCUCUCUCUCCCUCUCCAUAUGGGUACUCCAGACACUUGCAUCGUGUUUGAUUCUAGCCACACGUCAUCCCUACUCACGAGUUGUUGUGUGGAAGUUUUGUGUGAGAUGUUGCAGUCUCUACAGCGAGCAUCGAACUGCACCCUUGUGGAUCACUUUCUGAUGCGGUAAAUGGUCUCAAUCUUUCGCACACUACAUGCUUUUUGAAUGACGGAUCAAGGAUAAGUCAGCGAGGGCCUCUGUACAGAUACCUGGCGUUCAAGACGUGCUGGAGUUUGAAUGCCUUCAUUGCUGCUUGCCACAACACAGCAAUAUUCUGUAGUUCUAUUUUAGCACUGAUUCUGCAAGUGUUGGCCUCCUGGAACCUUGUCUAGACGAUGAUGUCCUUGUAUUUUCUUCCUGGUGGUAGUGAUGUAGUAGCGGCAACCACUCGCUACAGGAAACUGUAGAUACAGGGAUUCCAUUUUAUUUUUAUUUUUAUUGUUUAUUGUUUAUGAUCUGCAUUUCCAUUAUGGCCAGCUCUUGACUUGAGAAUCUUAAAUUUUUUAGAAUCUUUUUUUCGCUAAGAUGUUAGUACCCUGAUUUUUGAAGUGUUCAAGAACACCUAUAAUUUAAUAAGAUCAAUGUAUAAAACUGUGAUUAUUGUGUAUUA